Molecule: long non-coding RNA, 6479 nt
Filed under: Homo sapiens (human)
Lineage: Eukaryota; Metazoa; Chordata; Mammalia; Primates; Hominidae
Description: HSALNT0184343
Source: RNAcentral
GUCUGAAAGAACCAAUGACAGAACUGGCUCAGGGACCGAGCAUGGGGUGAAGCAGAAGAUCUGAGUAACCCAUAUCCUGGCCCACCAGCCCCAGAAUUAUUGAGUAUUUGAUUGUUUAAACCAAAAAGACGGCUGCAGAAACUUUCUUGGGCUAACACAAGUAAGAAUUUUUAAACCCAUUUAGAGUCAAGCGUGUGGUUAAGGCAGCAUAAACGCGUUGUGUGCUUCUUGGCGGUUCCUUCCUGGUUUCAUUUCUUUUUUCCUCUCCAUGUCCAACUUCCUUUUGAAGUCUUGAAUCGGCUGAGGGCUGAAGGAAGCCCCAAGGGGGAAGCACAAUGAGUCUAGCACUAGACAAAGUGGUCCCCGAAGAGGAGAGGGAAGGACGAAAGACCAGGCCUCAAAUGAAGUGCAUCCACCUUGGAUCAGGAGGCAGCGGGAGGCGGACAUGGGAGUUCCCAGGGAGCUACCCAGAGAGGGGCCGUCCAGCUCCCACAUGGGCACGUCAUCUGUCCCGGCCCAAACCUUCCUCCAAGUACAUCUGCAGCCCCUCAAAAUCACUUUCUCAAGAAGGAAAUGCUCGUCAGGGACGGGAAUAGCAUGUCUUUGCUGGUGCUGAGACGAUGAUCAGCUUGGCAUCAGAAAUCUGCAGAGAGGGGAAGGGAAUGGGGUUUAAAUUAUUUACACCAGACCUUCUCUUUUAGCAAAGACUGCAUGAGAGAGACAGAUAAUUCAGGCCAUCUGGACCCGAGGCCGAUGACCAGGACAGAUGCCACCUAGAUCAAAAGAGGAAGAUAUUUUUAGAGUUUUGAAUGUGGGCUCUGAAAACUUUUAUAUCUUAAGCCAAAUGAACAUCAUGAUGGAUGGUUCAGACUUAACUGGGUCUUUAUCAGGGGAUGGAUUAAAAAGUAAGAAGUCCUAGAAACUAAUUUCUGAAAAUGAGGGGAGCCAGAAUUGCAACACUUCCAUCAAAUAUGCCGAGGCUUGGUCAGCCAGGGCAAUGGGGUCCAGGAUCAAAGAUAAUAUCUGGGCUCAGGCUGAAAAGCUGGUUUUCAUGGAGCUUGCCCAGCUUGCUCUGGGGCCUCAGCCACCCAGCCCCACGGUGGGCCUUGCCUCGUCUGUUAGGUGGUAUUUUCAUCUUUGGUCAGAUGACAGCCCCCAUGCUCCAAAAAUUCUCCUGCAGCCAGGGCUUGGAGAAUCCCGACCCCUCUCUGGCAUGAACCUCUCCUCAUCCAGGGUGGCUUGUGUGGUAGAGCCAGGGGAAUGGAGAAGAUGACCUCUGAAGCCUGAAGGCUCUUUGGGAAGCAGGACACAAACAUCCUGAAGAGCCAGCCUUGAGCUGGCUGCACAAGAGACUCAUAGACUUUGCGUCAACAUCCACCUCUCCAGGCUGCAGUGGGUGUACCUGUUCACCACCACCUCCAGCAGCACUGUCGCAGCGGAGCAGUUCUUACAGCCAAUGAGCUUCCACACCACCUCCCUGCAGUUCUCUGCAACCGAGGCUCCAUCCUGCACUGAUGGGCUGCCUGACACGUCGGCCUCAACAAGCAUUUCCAGCACAUUCUCAGCUUUCCUGCUCUGCUGGGCAAAACACAGGGUGAGAAGGGGAGAGGAAGAACGGGACUGUGGCCCAGUUCUAGGCUUGGAGUCUAGCGAGGAACACCAGGUGCCUGCAUUAAAAGGAAUGGCUUGAGGCUUCCAAAUUCACAUCCUCUGGUUUGCACAAACAGGCCAGGCAGCUGCACCUCUGAGCUGCCUCCAGUCCAUGGUUAAUUGCCAGAAAAUAAUUCGCCCUGAGGUCAUUGCCGUUUAAACAGCUGGCUUCGUCUUUUCCUGUUUGGCCGGUCGUUCUGGGCUCCCUGGCCCUCCCUCCACCUGCUUCUGUGAUCCUCUCAAACACAGCCGGCUGGGAGCCUCAGGCUGGGCUCUUCUCCCUCCAGCUUAACUUGGCGACGUCUUGAUCCUUGUGUUGUGCUGAUGCGAGGCUGUUCUGGGAAUAGGCUAGUCCCUCCACCUUGUCGUGACCUGCCUGGACACCGAGCCUCCACCAUCAGGCUAUCACUUGCAGGAAAUUUUGCAAACCCUGUGUCUCUCUAAUCAUACAGGAUGGUUGGAGAGACAAAAGAGGAAAAUGAAUGCUUCCACGAAGCUCCCUCUUUGUGGCAGAAUCAGUCCAAUGGAGAAAUUCUGAAAUUCCAGUUUUACAAAGUUCUUCAAACUUACCUCAAGGAUGGCACCAGCUGAAGCUCAGUUGCCCUGUCUCUUAUGCACCAGUGCAUCUGCCCCAGAAACUCUUAUCUGGGGCUCAGUUUGCCCCCAUGUGGUAUAAGUCCCUCCAAAGAUUCCAUUUCUAGUUACUCGUCUCAAUGUCACAAUGAGAAAUAUUUCUGCAUAUUUCCUGCAAAGCGUCUCAUUAAAGAAAGUAUUGGUUUGAUUCAGAAAAUGCUAUGCUGUUCCAGCUUCACUUUGGAUCUAUAGUUUUAGAAAGUAUCCAACUCUGCUUCUAGUUUAAGCUGCCCUGUUAAAGAGUUAAUGGAAAAAACCCCACUAUGGUAUGAGGAAGGGGUGGGAAUUAACGUUUGGGUCCCAUUCUGUGCCUAAAACACUGGUUCCCUCUAUGUUUUGAGCCUGAAAUUGAGUCGUUCUUAUGGAAGGCAGAUGCUAGAGGAGCUUUCUUUGGGAUUCUCAUUACCCGUUUCCAUCAGACCAGGCCAUUAGAUGGUUGCUUCUAGAAGGAUGGUGCAGCCCUGAGUCUGCAGGGGGCAGACCGGUCACAAAAACCAGAGUGGAGCUGGGGGUCAGACUGGAGUUCAUUGGGUAGGUUCAGUUCACACCCUGGUGCACAGGGUCCACGAAGGCACAACAAGGCACAGGUGAGAGCCAGGAGGGCAAGCAGGGAUCCAAGUGUACACAGCCCAGGGAGCAAGACAAGCAGAGAGGCCUGGAGCCAGAAGGAGGCUCGGAAACAACGAUGCCAGCAGUGAGCUCACGGGUCAGAAGCUUCUGGCCCAAGGCUUUAUGGAGGCCAUGCCUGAGCUGAAUAUUGGUGGCUGAGCAGCCAAUAAACGGAACACAGAUGGGGCCAGGGCAGGGAAUUCCAGGCAGGAGGAACAGCCAGAGAGCAAAGGCAGGGAGGCUGGAAGCUUUGCUGUGUGAGGAUCUGUGUACACACAGGGAAUGCUUCACAGGCUGUAGAGACAGUGACUAGCUUCUGAGAUCAGAGUAGGCUGGGCUGAGUAAUGGGAAGGGUGGAGGGGGCAGAGACCCACAUUACAGCCCGUGGCCCUGAACCCAGGACAAGCCACGGGGGUGGAGGAGCAGGCAGGAGAUGCUCCACCACUGCUGGCAAGGAGCAGGGCAGCCUGCCCAAGGGGGUACUGCCUGGAGCAUCACUGACUUACCCCAUCUGCUGGCGAGGAUACAGAAGCUCAGCCCACAGGGCCACCAUGGAUGGCCCUAAAGGUUGUGUCCUAUGCAAGGGGACCACAGAAGGCUGGUGCCCUGGACAGUUGGCAAGAGGCUGAGCGCAGGGCAGUGAGGGAUGCUCGUGUGCCUGGGGAAAGCUUCCCUGGGCUUCCCUUUUUUUUCUCCAUCUUCACCCUCUCACCCCUCACCCCUCCUGACACCCUGUCCCUUGGGGGAGCACCUAACACCCCUGUGUCCACCUGAACCACACCAGCCCUAACGUGCUGAAUCCCCGCUAAAUGAGCCCAGUGCUCAUCCAUCCAUCCGCGCAUCCGUUGUUCAGUGGGGAAAGUAGCACGUAGCAGGUCCGAGCACAGGCUCUGCAGCCAGAAUUCCUGGGUUCCAUGCCUCACCCAGCCACGUAUUUGCUGUGUGACCUCAGGCAAGCUACUUAGCUUCUCCACGCACGUGUGCUCAUCUAGAAAACGAGGCUGAUGCUCGUGCCCACGUGGCAAUGUGAUGAGUAAUGCUAGUACUCAUCUCUGAGGGUGGAUGGGAGAGACACGCAAAGUGUUUGCAAGGGGGCCGGCACCUGGGAGCACUCAUACAUGUUGGCUGUCACUGUCAUGGAGCACCACCGUGUGCCGGGCUCUGCUUGGUGCUCCUGGGCUGCUCACAUGAGCAAGGUGCUGACUCUGCCAAGGAAGGGUGCUUUUUUUUUCUUUUGGAGAAAGAAAAGGGAUGCUUUCUGCUGCUCCCGCCCUGAAAACACUGCGUGCCCCUCUGCUCUUCUCCUACUAGGCUUGAGAAGCAAGACCAGCACACCCUGAGUUGGGGUGUUGCCUCCUAAGCCACUGGCCAGCAAUUCUGGGGGGGGGGGUGGGGACGCUGAAGAGAAUGCGGGGCUCUGCUGGUGCAGCAUGGACCCUCCUUGGUCUGGUGAGCUGGGAGAAGCAGGACAGCAUGGGGUCCAGUGAUACUAACCGUGUGGAAAUAGAACUCCUCCAGAUUACAGGGCACCUGAGAAUUUCUUACUGACUUUUGUUUAAUAAUUCAAAAACACAUCAAAUCAAACUUAAUCAAGGCAAAAGCUGUCUCUGGAGCCUUCUUCGUGCUUCCUGGAGUCAAGCUCUUACAGAAUCACGGCAGCACCCCCCUCCCUAGCUCACGAAGGAAGCUGGAGGACUCCACAGCUGCUUCAGGAAACAGACUGUCCCCAGGGAACCCUUCAGAGAUCUUGGGACCAGACAGGAUGUACCUGGACUCCUGGAAUUCCCUCUCCAGCCUCCAGGUCCCGUGAGGAUGUGAGCUGGAGCAGUACGGGCUUCCCUGAUCCUUCCUGUGUCCAGACAGCCAACAUGUGCCGCGGGAGCCCUGAGAUGAUUCCGAUGCACGGAGGGAGCCGGGAAACGCUGGUAUUUCUGCCUGUCACUUAUUAUCUGGUUGAGCUGGUGGCGGGAGUCCCGGCCCAUGUGUGUUACCAGAGGGAUGGUCUAGAGAAUGAAUCCAUCUGUCAGAGGCAUCCAAGAAGAAAGGCCUGGGCCAGGAUCACAUGGAAGACCCUGAAGACAGGAUCGGGUCUUGCCUGCCUGGAUUGAACAGAGACGCAGUGACCAGUCCCAUCUGCUCCCACCCUGCUGCCCUCUGAAUCGAGAGUUUGAGGCCAUGACCAGGGUAACGUUCAGCUGGUAGAGACAACACAACCCUGCUGGCUGUUUAAGCCAUGCUGGAGUGGUGCUCACAGGGUAACAAUUUUCAAGUGCUACGGAUGCAAUAGCUCAGCGACUGGCAGCGCAGCACGUACCUGCUGUCGUGGGAGGUGAGAGCCACCAGUGCCCGACAGCGGCUGCAAGGCAGUGGUGGCGCUCUGCAGCCAGCCGGCCCACCCCUCCAACAUCUGCAAGGGGGUGGGAGGCUGCCUCACCAAGCUACCUGCUACUCAUGGGGGCGAUGGGCAUCAGGGUGGCCUGCCUGGAGCCCCGAGAGCACAUAGAAGCUGCCAGAUGAGGGCAGUGAGGCCGAGGGCCGGCAGUAGGGCUGCAGAUGCCCUGAGCCCUAAGGUCAAGGUGGAUGGAACUGCUGUGUAAGUCUGAUGCCGAGGAGACCAGGUCGUUGGGCUUUCAGCCCUGCGGCCGCCAAGUCUCAGGUUAGAGCUCCCUCUCGCGGCCGAUGCUGGGCACUACAUUGCCCAAGACCCAGGUGGGCCGAAGUCUUGAGAAAGGGCUCGCAGUCAUCGUCGCCAGCAGGCAGACACCAGGCACCUACCUCCCCGACAUACCCAGCCUGGUACCUCGAAGACCAGUAGCCUUGAGCUACACUUGGGAUUCCCAAUACAGUUUCAAAACCGUCUAGCUCAUCUUUCAGGAACCUUCCAGGGUUCACAUUCUGAUUUUUCAGUAAGGUUCUCACCUCUGUGACCAAUUACCUUGAGACUGAUGUCCUGCACCAUCCUGGAGUGUUGGGAUCUGCAGGUCGUGAAAAGGGAAACCAAGCAAUCACUUUGGAAUGACUUCCUGGAACUUCCCUGGCCCCUCCUUCGUGUUCUCUGAUGACAGCCAGGAGCUGACUCAGAAACCUCAUAAGAAGCUGAAGGCAUGACGACUUCCCUGUUAAAAAAAAAAUGUCCCACGUGUGGCCGAGUGCCACACCCAGGCAGCUGCCGAAAAAAAGCACCAGACACCAUGCAGCUGGGCCCCAGGGCCCGGCCCAACCCGGUUGGCCUUCUCCGGCACCUGCAGGGAACUUGUCCUGUCUUGUCUCUGCUCGCCCCCUGCUGGCUGCCUGGAGCCAUUCCGUGCUGGUUUCUUCGCGUCUUCUGUCAGGAGAGAGAUGCUGAUGCUUACUCAGGGAUCCGGCGGCUGUGACCCUGAGGCCCCGAGGUGGAUUAACAGAGCCCUCAGCACCGAGUCUCCAAGCUGAAGGCAGUGGUCACACUCCCUGCUGCCCUCCAGGUUUGGAGGGAUGGAGAGGAGAGAGGAGGGGAAGAAGCUACCUUCUUCACUAGCCUUGCUGAGAGACAAGUGGGUACGGCCCACAGGCACCUCCACCAGCCUGCCCUCUACAUCCAGAUUCGCAAG